UGUAGGAAUCAUAGUGGUUGUUCUGGUUCUCAUCCUCUGUCUCUCUGGACUCAUGUGGUUCAGGAAGAAGGCCUCCAAAUCCACCUCUGACACAAGAGACACAUCAGAGAAUGUACAGGGAGACUCUAGUCCAGUGUAUGACAACAUCUCAGGCAUGGCCAUGACCUCUACUGCAGCACAGACAGCAGCCACAGAUG
Salvelinus namaycush (lake trout) is the source of this 197-nucleotide long non-coding RNA. RefSeq lists it as uncharacterized. The transcript is spliced from 3 exons. Lineage: Eukaryota; Metazoa; Chordata; Actinopteri; Salmoniformes; Salmonidae. The record is from RefSeq and is a predicted model, not a curated record.